This is a non-coding RNA of Lasiosphaeris hirsuta, 70 nucleotides long. Lineage: Eukaryota; Fungi; Ascomycota; Sordariomycetes; Sordariales; Lasiosphaeriaceae. The record is from the annotation of a GenBank genome assembly.
GCGUCAGGAGUUUAGUGGUAAAUCCAUCGUUGCCAUUGAUGGGCCCCGCGUUCGAUUCGCGGCUGACGUA